UACGGAGGAUCCAAGCGUUAUCCGGAAUCAUUGGGUUUAAAGGGUCCGUAGGCGGGAGAGUCAGUCAGUGGUGAAAGUCUGCAGCUUAACUGUAGAACUGCCAUUGAUACUGCUUUCCUUGAGUAAUUAUGAAGUGGUUAGAAUAUGUAGUGUAGCGGUGAAAUGCAUAGAUAUUACAUAGAAUACCGAUUGCGAAGGCAGAUCACUAAUAAUUUACUGACGCUGAUGGACGAAAGCGUAGGUAGCGAACAGG
RNAcentral lists this ribosomal RNA (253 nucleotides) under uncultured bacterium. RNAcentral's name for it is "partial 16S ribosomal RNA". It matches the Rfam family "Bacterial small subunit ribosomal RNA", at positions 524 to 776 of the family's 1533-position model. The record is from RNAcentral.